This is a small nucleolar RNA of Dioscorea cayenensis subsp. rotundata (Guinea yam), 107 nucleotides long. The record is from RefSeq and is a predicted model, not a curated record. Lineage: Eukaryota; Viridiplantae; Streptophyta; Magnoliopsida; Dioscoreales; Dioscoreaceae.
AAUCCGUGAUGUGGAUACCUCCACAAAAGAUCCUUGAAGCACUCCCAUGUCUCAAAGAAUGACUCUAACUCCAUCUGCACAAAUGAUAAAAUCUCAUUGCGAAGUUU